UAUCUCAAUCUAAUAUAAACAAUUCUAAUAUAAACAAUUUUCCUUUUUAAAAAGAAAAGAAUGAAAAAAAAUUUAAUAAUCGAAUAAUAAAAGCAAAGUAUUUGUGUGGUGGCUCAAACGAAAAGUUAGGUUAUUUGCUCUUUCUACGACGAACCAGUGCUUACAUCAACAUCAUUUCACGGAAAUGUAACCUUAUGCCAGUUACAACGUUUGCAAAGAUUUGAUAUACAAUAAUGAAAAAAUAAAAGUGGAGAAAUAAGUAACAUUCUAUUGCUGAACUUUGGAACUUAGUUGGGCCAAUAGCCAACAGUUGCGCCACCAUCAUUUUAAACAAAAGUGGGGAGAACUUUCGCAUUGAGUCAUAAGUUUCUUCGAGGAUUCUUCGAGGAAAGGAAUCGAAUUUAUCCGAAGCUCGGACAACCGAUUCUACCCGAUGUAACGAGAGCGUAACGACAUUGGCCGGACCAUAGAGCACCACGGUGACUUUAACCUAGUUAAUGAUAACGCGAAAAUCAAGUUAAACGACCCUCACUAUUUACUCCCUUCUCACCCAUGGACACACUGCCAGGAUGCACUUAAUUACUAGGCUCUCUCGAUUCGCUCUAGUGCCAAUACUGUUUAAAGUAAUUUUUUGUUUAAUAUAAUUCGAUUUCCUUUUUUUUUUUUUUUUUUUUCUUUCGAUAUCGACCUCGCGAAUCAACUUUUGAUUAUCGACGAUGCAAAAUAAAAAAAAAAAA
RNAcentral lists this long non-coding RNA (737 nucleotides) under Apis dorsata (giant honeybee). Its description in RNAcentral is "uncharacterized LOC102676024, transcript variant X2". The record is from RNAcentral. Lineage: Eukaryota; Metazoa; Arthropoda; Insecta; Hymenoptera; Apidae.